Molecule: ribosomal RNA, 273 nt
Filed under: uncultured bacterium
Lineage: Bacteria
Description: partial 16S ribosomal RNA
Source: RNAcentral
CUGCUGCCUUCCGUAGGAGUUUGGGCCGUGUCUCAGUCCCAAUGUGGCCGCCCACCCUCUCAGGCCGGCUACUGAUCGUCGGUUUGGUGGGCCUUUACCCCGCCAACUGCCUAAUCAGACGCGGACCCAUCCCAUACCACCGGAGUUUUUCACACCGUACGAUGCCGUACCGUGCGCUUAUGCGGUAUUACCAGCCGUUUCCAGCUGCUAUCCCCCUGUAUGGGCCAGGUUAUCCACGCGUUACUCACCCGUCCGCCACUAAGAUAAGAAAAG